RNAcentral lists this ribosomal RNA (303 nucleotides) under uncultured bacterium. RNAcentral describes it as "partial 16S ribosomal RNA". It matches the Rfam family "Bacterial small subunit ribosomal RNA", at positions 507 to 807 of the family's 1533-position model. The record is from RNAcentral.
AGCAGUAGCCACGGUAAUACGCAGGGGGCUAGCGUUGCUCGGAAUUACUGGGCGUAAAGGGAGCGUAGGCGGGUCGUUUAGUCAGAGGUGAAAUCCCGGGGCUCAACCUCGGAACUGCCUUUGAUACUGGCGACCUUGAGUAUGGGAGAGGUAAGCGGAACUCCGAGUGUAGAGGUGAAAUUCGUAGAUAUUCGGAAGAACACCAGUGGCGAAGGCGGCUUACUGGCCCAUUACUGACGCUGAGGCUCGAAAGCGCGGGGAGCAAACAGGAUUAGAGACCCGAGUAGUCCCUGUCUCUUAUAC